RNAcentral lists this transfer RNA (58 nucleotides) under Mus musculus (house mouse). It matches the Rfam family "tRNA", at positions 8 to 63 of the family's 71-position model. From Rfam's summary of the family: Transfer RNA (tRNA) molecules are approximately 80 nucleotides in length. Their secondary structure includes four short double-helical elements and three loops (D, anti-codon, and T loops). Lineage: Eukaryota; Metazoa; Chordata; Mammalia; Rodentia; Muridae. The record is from Rfam by way of RNAcentral. RNAcentral also lists the same sequence under 1 other name.
UGGCUCAGUGGUUAAGAGCACUGAAUGCUAUUCCAGAGGGCCUGGGUUCAAUUCCCAG